CCUACGGGUGGCAGCAGUGAGGAAUAUUGGUCAAUGGGCGUAAGCCUGAACCAGCCAAGUCGCGUGAGGGAUGAAGGUUCUAUGGAUCGUAAACCUCUUUUAUAAGGGAAUAAAGUGUGGGACGUGUCCUAUUUUGUAUGUACCUUAUGAAUAAGGAUCGGAAAACUCCGUGCCAGCAGCCGCGGUAAUACGGAGGAUCCGAGCGUUAUCCGGAUUUAUUGGGUUUAAAGGGUGCGUAGGGGGCCUAUUAAGACAGAGGGGAAAGUCUGGGUCUCAACCAUAAGAUUGCCGUUGAAACUGGGGAGCUUGAGUAUGUUUGAGGCAGGCGGAAUGCGUGGUGUAGCGGUGAAAUGCUUAGAUAUCACACAGAACCCCGAUUGCGAAGGCAGCCUGCCAGGCCAUGACUGACGCUGAUGCACGAAAGCGUAGGGAUCAAACAGGAUUAGAUACCCGAGUAGUC
Molecule: ribosomal RNA, 460 nt
Filed under: uncultured bacterium
Lineage: Bacteria
Description: partial 16S ribosomal RNA
Rfam family: Bacterial small subunit ribosomal RNA
Source: RNAcentral